AUUGAACGCUGGCGGCAGGCCUAACACAUGCAAGUCGAACGGUAACAGGAAGCAGCUUGCUGCUUUGCUGACGAGUGGCGGACGGGUGAGUAAUGUCUGGGAAACUGCCCGAUGGGGGGGGAUAACUACUGGAAACGGUAGCUAAUACCGCAUAACGUCGCAAGACCAAAGAGGGGGACCUUAGGGCCUCUUGCCAUCGGAUGUGCCCAGAUGGGAUUAGCUAGUAGGUGGGGUAACGGCUCACCUAGGCGACGAUCCCUAGCUGGUCUGAGAGGAUGACCAGCCACACGGGAACUGAGACACGGUCCAGACUCCUACGGGAGGCAGCAGUGGGGAAUAUUGGACAAUGGGCGCAAGCCUGAUGCAGCCAUGCCGCGUGUAUGAAGAAGGCCUUCGGGUUGUAAAGUACUUUCAGCGGGGAGGAAGGGAGUAAAGUUAAUACCUUGGCUCAUUGACGUUACCGGAAGAAGAAGCACCGGCUAACUCCGUG
Molecule: ribosomal RNA, 490 nt
Filed under: uncultured bacterium
Lineage: Bacteria
Description: partial 16S ribosomal RNA
Rfam family: Bacterial small subunit ribosomal RNA
Source: RNAcentral